This 253-nucleotide ribosomal RNA is filed under the name uncultured bacterium. RNAcentral's name for it is "partial 16S ribosomal RNA". It matches the Rfam family "Bacterial small subunit ribosomal RNA", at positions 524 to 776 of the family's 1533-position model. The record is from RNAcentral.
UACGUAGGGUGCGAGCGUUAAUCGGAAUUACUGGGCGUAAAGGGUGCGCAGGCGGCGUCGCAAGUCAGGCGUGAAAUCCCCGGGCUUAACCUGGGAACUGCACUUGAAACUACGAUGCUGGAGUAUGGCAGAGGGAGGUGGAAUUCCACGUGUAGCGGUGAAAUGCGUAGAUAUCUGGAGGAACACCGGUGGCGAAGGCGGCGUUCUGGACUGCAACUGACACUGAGGAACGAAAGCCAGGGGAGCAAACGGG